UGGGGAAUAUUGCACAAUGGGGGAAACCCUGAUGCAGCGACGCCGCGUGAGCGAAGAAGGCCUUCGGGUCGUAAAGCUCUUUUAUAUGGGAAGAUAAUGACGGUACCAUAAGAAAAAGCCCCGGCUAACUACGUGCCAGCAGCCGCGGUAAUACGUAUGGGGCGAGCGUUGUCCGGAAUUAUUGGGCGUAAAGGGUACGUAGGCGGUCUAUUAAGUCAGGUGUGAAAGCGUGAGGCUUAACCUCAUUAAGCACUUGAAACUGAUAGACUUGAGUGAAGGAGAGGAAAGUGGAAUUCCUAGUGUAGCGGUGAAAUGCGUAGAUAUUAGGAGGAAUACCGGUGGCGAAGGCGACUUUCUGGACUUUUACUGACGCUCAGGUACGAAAGCGUGGGGAGCAAACAGG
Molecule: ribosomal RNA, 403 nt
Filed under: Verrucomicrobiota bacterium
Lineage: Bacteria; Pseudomonadati; Verrucomicrobiota
Description: Verrucomicrobia bacterium partial 16S ribosomal RNA
Rfam family: Bacterial small subunit ribosomal RNA
Source: RNAcentral